This is a long non-coding RNA of Pelmatolapia mariae (spotted tilapia), 1217 nucleotides long. RefSeq lists it as uncharacterized. The transcript is spliced from 3 exons. NCBI's taxonomy places the organism in Eukaryota, Metazoa, Chordata, Actinopteri, Cichliformes, Cichlidae. The record is from RefSeq and is a predicted model, not a curated record.
CACUGAGGCCGUCUCUCCUGCAUGAAGUCCAGGGCCCUGUUUCAGAAAGCCGGUUUAGUGCAAACUCUGAGUAAGUAUACCCUGAGUUAACGAAAACUCUGGGUUUUCGGUUACACAAAGCGAGUUUAGAUUAAUUCUGAGUCAGUUACUAUGACGACACACUCCGUGAAGCUAACCUGCCCCCUAGCAGGUUUACUUCAACUAACCCUGACUUUCUCCGCCUCUUUGUCGGAAACCUGACUGUAGGAAGUGUCAGACAUGGCGUGCCCCUUCCUUGAAGAGCCAGUAGAUGUUGAAGCCCAAAUUCUCCACAGAGCUCUCCGCCGGGAGAGAGUGAUUAGAGCGCGUUUGGACAUUUUAUCAUUUCCUGAUGAUUUUCUGUGUAAACGUUACCGUUUUUCAGCACAAUCUAUAAUAUAUUUGAAUAACAUCCUCAGGCCUUAUAUUGCUCAUGUGACACAUCGCGGACAUUCUCUCAGUUCUGUACAUAUUAUUUGUAUUGCACUUCGUUUUUUUGCAAACGGGAGCUUUCUGUAUAAUAUUGGUGACGCUGAGCACGUUUCCAAGGCUACCGUCUGUCGGGCAGUCAGGAAUGUUACAGAUGCACUGAAACGUCUCCUGUACUCGUUUGUGGUGUUCCCCGGUCAUAGACCCACAAGAUAUAUCAAAGAGGGAUUCCACAAAAUUGCAGGUAUCAGGAUGAACAAAACUUAAUUCAUGAUGUGGUGAUACUUGAACUACUACUUAAAUUUUACAUUUAUUUUCAGGGUUCCCAGGCGUGAUUGGCUGUAUAGAUGGCACUCACAUUCCAAUCAUUGCUCCUUCAGUAAAUGAAGGAGUCUAUGUGAACAGGAAGUCUUUCCACAGCAUUAAUGUACAGAUCAUGUGUGAUGCUGCCAACAUUAUCACAAAUGUGGAAGCCAAGUGGCCAGGCUCUGUUCAUGACUCACAAAUUUUUCGUGAAUGUACACUGAGCACAAAAUUUGGACAUGGAGAGUUCACUGGCUACUUGCUUGGUGAUAGGGGGUAUCCAUGUUUACCCUAUUUGCUUACCCCGUACCCUGACCCUGAACCGGGCCCACAGCAGGGAUUUAAUCUGGCUCAUUGCUGGACAAGAGCCAGAGUUGAAAUGACUAUCGGAAUGCUUAAGGCCCGGUUCCAGUGCCUUCAAACAGUUCCAGUGCCUUCAACAUUGCCACAAUUAGAGGAGAACACUG